This 1429-nucleotide ribosomal RNA is filed under the name uncultured organism. RNAcentral describes it as "16S ribosomal RNA". It matches the Rfam family "Bacterial small subunit ribosomal RNA". The record is from RNAcentral.
CAUGCAAGUCGAGGGGCAGCAUGGUCUUAGCUUGCUAAGGCCGAUGGCGACCGGCGCACGGGUGAGUAACGCGUAUCCAACCUGCCUUACACUCUUGGACAGCCUUCUGAAAGGGAGAUUAAUACAAGAUGUUAUCAUGAGUAAGCAUUUUCGCAUGAUUAAAGGUUUACCGGUGUAAGAUGGGGAUGCGUUCCAUUAGAUAGUAGGCGGGGUAACGGCCCACCUAGUCUUCGAUGGAUAGGGGUUCUGAGAGGAAGGUCCCCCACAUUGGAACUGAGACACGGUCCAAACUCCUACGGGAGGCAGCAGUGAGGAAUAUUGGUCAAUGGACGAGAGUCUGAACCAGCCAAGUAGCGUGAAGGAUGAAGGUUCUAUGGAUUGUAAACUUCUUUUAUACGGGAAUAAACGGAUCCACGUGUGGAUUUCUGCAUGUACCGUAUGAAUAAGGAUCGGCUAACUCCGUGCCAGCAGCCGCGGUAAUACGGAGGAUCCGAGCGUUAUCCGGAUUUAUUGGGUUUAAAGGGAGCGUAGAUGGGUUGUUAAGUCAGUUGUGAAAGUUUGCGGCUCAACCGUAAAAUUGCAAUUGAUACUGGCAGUCUUGAGUGCAGUAGAGGUGGGCGGAAUUCGUGGUGUAGCGGUGAAAUGCUUAGAUAUCACGAAGAACUCCGAUUGCGAAGGCAGCUCACUGGAGUGUAACUGACGCUGAUGCUCGAAAGUGUGGGUAUCAAACAGGAUUAGAUACCCUGGUAGUCCACACAGUAAACGAUGAAUACUCGCUGUUUGCGAUAUACAGUAAGCGGCCAAGCGAAAGCAUUAAGUAUUCCACCUGGGGAGUACGCCGGCAACGGUGAAACUCAAAGGAAUUGACGGGGGCCCGCACAAGCGGAGGAACAUGUGGUUUAAUUCGAUGAUACGCGAGGAACCUUACCCGGGCUUAAAUUGCAAAUGAAUUAUGGGGAAACCCAUACGCCGCAAGGCAUUUGUGAAGGUGCUGCAUGGUUGUCGUCAGCUCGUGCCGUGAGGUGUCGGCUUAAGUGCCAUAACGAGCGCAACCCUUAUCUUCAGUUACUAACAGGUCAUGCUGAGGACUCUGGAGAGACUGCCGUCGUAAGAUGUGAGGAAGGUGGGGAUGACGUCAAAUCAGCACGGCCCUUACGUCCGGGGCUACACACGUGUUACAAUGGGGGGUACAGAAGGCCGCUACCUGGUGACAGGAUGCCAAUCCCAAAAACCUCUCUCAGUUCGGAUCGAAGUCUGCAACCCGACUUCGUGAAGCUGGAUUCGCUAGUAAUCGCGCAUCAGCCAUGGCGCGGUGAAUACGUUCCCGGGCCUUGUACACACCGCCCGUCAAGCCAUGAAAGCCGGGGGUACCUGAAGUACGUAACCGCAAGGAGCGUCCUAGGGUAAAACUGGUAAUUGGGGCUAAGUC